GACGAACGCUGGCGGCGUGCCUAACACAUGCAAGUCGAACGAGAAUCUUUGAACAGAUCUUUUCGGAGUGACGUUUAAAGAGGAAAGUGGCGGACGGGCGAGUAACGCGUGAGUAACCUGCCCAUAAGAGGGGGAUAAUCCAUGGAAACGUGGACUAAUACCGCAUAUUGUAGUCAAGUCGCAUGACUAGAUUAUGAAAGAUCUAUCGCUUAUGGAUGGACUCGCGUCAGAUUAGAUAGUUGGUGAGGUAACGGCUCACCAAGUCAACGAUCUGUAGCCGAACUGAGAGGUUGAUCGGCCGCAUUGGGACUGAGACACGGCCCAGACUCCUACGGGAGGCAGCAGUGGGGAAUAUUGCGCAAUGGGGGCAACCCUGACGCAGCAACGCCGCGUGCAGGAAGAAGGUCUUCGGAUUGUAAACUGUUGUCGCAGGGGAAGAAGACAGUGACGG
This 451-nucleotide ribosomal RNA is filed under the name uncultured bacterium. RNAcentral describes it as "bacterial SSU rRNA". It matches the Rfam family "Bacterial small subunit ribosomal RNA", at positions 28 to 475 of the family's 1533-position model. The record is from RNAcentral.